Molecule: RNA transcript, 5843 nt
Organism: Herpailurus yagouaroundi (jaguarundi)
Lineage: Eukaryota; Metazoa; Chordata; Mammalia; Carnivora; Felidae
Gene: KITLG
Gene name: KIT ligand
Exons: 11
Source: RefSeq, a predicted model, not a curated record
GAAGGGCCCUCGCGGCUUCCCUUUGGUGUGCGCCCGCGGCUGCCACGCCAGGGGAAGCGCCUGGCCUGAUUUGUUCAACUUCGGGGGCAUUCGCUGCGCUCCGGCCUCCCUCCCGGGUCUCCCCGCCGCGCCCCUGCCCCGUCUUGCUUCCCCGGGGCUCCGGAAGGGAAGGAGGCGUGUCCGGAGCCGGCGGGAGGGACCUGUAUAAAAGUGCUGGCGGCGCGCCGGCCGGGGCUUCACUCGCCGCCUUGCGCCGGGACUGGGAUCGCUGCGGGAAAGCACGGGCCGGGGAGAGGGCGCUGCGCUCGGGCUACCCAAUGCGUGGACUAUCUGCAGCCGCUGCUCGUGCAAUAUGCUGGAGCUCCAGAACAUCUAAACGGAGUCGCCACACCGCUGCCUGGACUGGAUCACAGCGCUGCCUUUCCUUAUGAAGAAGACACAACUAUGCAAUUUUUUAAAAACCUACAGUGAAGUGUAACUUGAUUUACCUGUGCUACUUGUUUACCCAGCCUAGUAAUAAUUUGAUAUGGUGGCUUCAAUCAAAAACUGAUUCAGCUAAAUGGACCUAUACGCCAUCCACAGCACUUGGAUUGUCACUUGCAUUUAUCUUCAGCUGCUCCUAUUUAACCCUCUGGUCAAAACUAAAGGGCUCUGCAGGAACCGUGUGACUGAUGAUGUGAAAGACGUUACAAAAUUGGUGGCAAAUCUUCCAAAAGACUAUAAGAUAGCCCUCAAAUAUGUCCCCGGGAUGGAUGUUUUGCCUAGUCAUUGUUGGAUAAGCGUGAUGGUGGAACAGUUGUCAGUCAGUUUGACUGAUCUUCUGGACAAGUUUUCGAAUAUUUCUGAAGGCUUGAGUAAUUAUUCUAUCAUAGACAAACUUGUGAAAAUAGUGGAUGACCUUGUGGAGUGCAUGGAAGGACACUCAUCUGAGAAUGUAAAAAAAUCAUCUAAGAGCCCAGAACCCAGGCUUUUUACUCCUGAAGAAUUCUUUAGAAUUUUUAAUAGAUCCAUUGAUGCCUUCAAGGACUUGGAGAUGGUGGCAUCUAAAACUAGUGAAUGUGUGGUUUCUUCAACAUUAAGUCCUGAAAAAGGGAAGGCCACAAAUCCCACAGAAGACUCCAGCAUACAAUGGGCAGUCAUGGCAUUACCAGCGUGCUUUUCUCUUGUAAUCGGAUUUGCUUUUGGAGCCUUCUACUGGAAGAAGAAACAACCGAAUCUCACAAGGACAGUUGAAAAUAUACAGAUUAACGAAGAGGAUAAUGAGAUAAGUAUGCUGCAAGAAAAAGAGAGAGAGUUUCAAGAGGUGUAAUUGUGGCUUAUAUCAACACUGUUACUUUUGUGCCUUGGCGGGUAACAGUUCAUGUUUGCUUCAUAAAUGAAGCAGCUUUAAACAAAUUCAUAUUCUGUCUGGAGUAACAGACUGCAUUUUUAUCUGUUCUUGCUACCCAUGACUCUAUAUGGAUGAUUCACAAAUUGGAACAAAGUGUUUUACUGUGAAACUGGCACUGAAUUAAUCAUCUAUAAAGAAGACCUUGCAUGGAGCAGGACUCUAUUUUAAAGACCUGGGGGACUGGUGGUCUCAUUUAGAACUUGGAACUGACGUUGGGAGAGAAAGCACGUGUCCCAGAUUGCAUGCACCAUUUUGCAUGCCUCCAGAAGUGUCUAAUUGCUGAAAAGUCACAUAGCUUUAUUUUCAGUUACAACCUGCAGUUCAUAGUAAUCUUGGUCUUUGCAAGUAGAUUUCAUCCUGUAUAGUGGGGAUAAUUUUUCUGAAAUGAAUCUAGAAAAAAUGUUAAAAACAAAAACUCAACAGCAUCAGCCAGUCUACAUUUAGAAAGCAGUAGGAACAAAAUGAUUGGAGGAAGCAACAUGUCAGCCUUGUAGCUGCUAAUUAGUGGUCUGGGUCUGAUCUUGGUCUCUUCUUGACAUAAACCUAUCUCCCACUAGACAAAUGGACAUGGUUAGCUGGAUCUAUCCAUGCUUGGGAGUCAGUAUUGUAUUAGAACAAUGAUGACAUCAAUAAAAUGGGAAAAAAAAAAACCUGAAUGGGAGAAAAUAAUUGCAAGUCAUAUAUCUGAUAAGGGGCUAAUAGCUAAAUCUACCAAGAACUCCUACAAUAAUAGCAAAAAAAAAAAAAAAAAAAAAAAAAAGAAAAAAAAGAAAAAAACCUCUAACUUAAAAAUGGAAAGAUCUGAGUAGAUGUUUUUCCAAAGAAGACCUGCAAAUGGCCAACAGAGAGGAGACUCUCCAAAGGAGUUAUGGCCCAAAGAAGCCAUGAACACUGAACAGCACGGUCACUGAGGAGGACAUUUUGCACCCCUUUCCCCUACCACUUAUAGAGUGUAUAAAUUGUGCUUGCAAAAUAUAUUAUGAAAUGUUUAUAUUCUAAAACUAUUACAGAGUUAUGUAAAGGGACUUAAGAGAAAUUGCUGAAUGUAUGAAGGUCUCAUUUUCAAUUUACAUCAUGAGAGAAACUAAAAAUUAUAUUUAGUAUCUAAGAUUAGAAAACCACACCCACAUGGUAAUAUGGGUAUUGAAAAUUAGGUUACUUGGCUUUUAUAAGAAUGAAAGGAAUCAGGAAAUUUUAGCUAUUUCUCAUAUAAUCACCAUUAUCAGUUUAAGGGAUCCAUUUAUUUAAAAUCAGGCACUCUAUAUUAAUAUUUAUGAAUUUAAAAUAGCGAGCUUUAUGUAGUUAUGCAUGUCAGUUUGCUGUUUAAAAUGUGUGACAGCGUUUGUUGUAUUAACAGUGAAUUUGGUAAGAAUUCUCAAGAUGGACAUCAUGCUUUUAAACUAAAACUUGUAAGACAUUUUGUGAAUUUCCCUUGCCAUUUUUUUUUAAUAGUCGAACAUCUGACUAAAGAAAUGGUUUCUUGUGGUUUAAGAUUCUUUCAGUAGAUCAUGAACAUACAGAUGAAGGGAUCCAAAGCUUUCUAUUAUAACUUAAUUCUUGUUAUAACAUUAUUGUCAUGUUCUACCCCCUCAGAUGAUCAUUUUCAAUGUAGUGAUACAAAAGGGCAUGAAAAACUGCUAGCUUUCCUUUAUUUCAAAAGUCCAAGAAUUUCUAGUAUAGUUGGACUUCAUGUUAAAAGAGGAUCCAAAUACAACUCCAGUGAAGCGGCUUUUGCACUUUUUUGUACCAAAAAGCCCAGAUGAUUUCUACGAUCCCUUCCUUCUCUAAAGUGCUGGGCUUCCUCAGAUGGUAGUCAUUUCUCUAAGAUACAACCCAGGUGUUUUGGGAAGAUGCAUUGACUUAGGCCCUUAAAUAUCCCAUGGAUCAAACGUUUAGUAAUAAAACCAGCGAUCAGUUUAAUUGCUGAAAGGACCUGACUCUCAGUGUGUGGCUUUGAUUUUUUUGAAGAAACUAGAUAUAAGUUAGUAUGAGUUAUGUGUGUAGGUCAGGUGUAGAUUGAGAAGAUUGAUACUUCUCAAUUUAAUAGUUUAUUUCACCAAUGGUUUUGAUUUUCUUAGCCAUGAGAAAAUUCUGUUUAAUGAACUUGAGAGUACAAUAAAUGCACUUUUAUUCUCAAAGGCAGGAGCUGGGUUUUAACACUCAAGGACAUGGUCCUAAUCAAUAGAGUUAAAUAACAAAUUCAGCAAGUUAUGAAAUCUGGCAUCAUAGGCAAGGGGUGAUAUAUUCUACCUAAUUAAAUGUAUUAGUUCAUUGAGAGUUACGUGAAUUACCAAUUUUUAAAACACUAAAGUUCAAUAAAAUGCAUGAACAGUAGAAAAAGGCUGAACAUGAUUUUGGAUGCUGGCUGCUUGAGAAUUAUAUGUCAUAUCUGCUUUGAGAUGAAUGUGUGUGUACACACACAUACAUACACACACACACACACACAUUUGCUUUAUUUUAUCUGAUAUGUGUGCUGAAUAUCCUUCAGAAAUCAUGGAAAACUCACAACUGAUAUUAUCAAUCAUGAAAUCACCUUUUAAAUUGGUGCCAUGUAUCUGAUAUCUUUUGUAAUGUUCCAAAAUUGCCUUUUAAAAUGAUCUCAGAAGUCUGCAGAUCCUAAAUUAUACUAAAAGCUUUGCACCUCUUUGGUAGAACACAAGUCUAUAAAGAAACUGGCUCUGUGAUAAAUGGUGCCUGCCCAGUAAUAUCAAAGUGUUGCCGGAUUUUGUAUUAUAAUCUAACGUGCUUACCACACUGCCAUUUUUUAAUGAGUCAGAGACAAAUUUCAGUUUUUUUCAAUAUGAUAAUAGAAUAAGUACCCUAUUCUCUUUAAAAAGAAGUAUAUGAAGAAUGAAAACGUGUUUUUUAAUGUAGUGUUUGCUUUUAGUAAGAAUUAACACAUUUAAUUGAGUAUGAAAGUACUUCGGGGAAACUUUGUGGCAUAUUUUGGUAUUCUAAUUCAACUGAGGUUUGAAAUUAACAGAAAAAUCCAUUCAUGAUUUAUGAUUCAUGGAUAUCUCAAUAUUUUUCUGCAGCUAGGUUUUGGUUUCAAAAUGUAAUUCCAAUAUGGGGCUUUUAGCCAUUUCCCACGUAUUCUUAGAAAUUUUUCAAAAGACAGUUUGGCAUAAUGAGGCAGAUGUUGGAAAAAAAUUGUGAGAAACUUCUCUGCUGUUAACUGAUAUUGGUAAGUCACCUCUUUGGAUCUCCAUGUUUUAUUUAUGGUGAAGUUGGAGGUCACACCUUAGGUGUGAAACCUAUUGAUAUCUGACUGACAAAGACAACAAAAUAGAUCUGAAACUAUUCCAUAUGAGAUAUUCCAUUCUGAUCUGUGAAUAAGCAAUUUGAACACAAAAAGUCAUUGCUAUUCUUGUUUGUAAUGUAAAUAGGAUCCAUUAGUAAAAGUAAAAUUCAAUCUCCUAUAGGGUGAAUUGGGUAACCAUUUACACAAGAGAUGGCUUUUUCCUUUGCUUAAGUAAACAUUUUUGGAUCACCUCUGAAGAAUGAAAACCACGAGUGCAUUUUAGUCAGGAAGAGAUACUAUAAGAUAUGUGCAACAUUUGGAAAUGCACCAAAAUAAGCAUUUAAAUGCUGUCAUUUUAUUAAAAGCUUAGAACAGAAAUGUAAGAUGCUUAAAGUUUUUGAGUGCCAAAAAAUAAUUUAUAAUCCAUUUGGAAAGGGGUCAUCCAUAAAUUUCAUUUUAAAACUAGAAGGUGGGAUAAGAAUUUUAAAGUAAGCCAGCUUGUCUUUGAAACAGUAUUGUUUUGUAAAAUUGGCAUUAAAAUAUAAACAUUGAAAUUCUAACUAGUUAAUUUAUGAUAUUUUAUUGCACAAAUUAUGGUUUUGCUGCUUUAAGUCUGGAAAUGCCUUUGUUACAAAUAAAGUAAUGGUACUUUUAUUUCCUAACAAGAUGUUUUAGAAAUAAUUUAAAGUGGAUAUUCAUAAUCCUAAAAUGUUUCCUAAGCAUUGUAAAUUUAUAACUGCCAUCUCCAACUACAUCCUUAUGAUGUUUUUAAAAAUAAAAUUGUUUUAAAAACAUAGUAUUUUCAACUACUUGAUUUCUCAGCUAUAAGGCUCAAAAUUUUUCAAUAAAAUCCUAUAUUCUAAGGAUUAAUGUGUGAUUAUAGUGUCCAUUUGUCGCUAUUUUUUAAAUUGAUGGACUUGAAAAGUAUUCAAACAUUUAGAUGGAUGCAUAGAUACAUUGCUAGUUCAUUCAUAGAUUGGAGUUUGCAUAUUGUAAUGUAAAUGUAUGUCAACACUAUUCUAGUUUAUUAUGACUGAAGUGUAAUUAAAUAAAAAACGUUGUAAAAUGUGAUGUGUAUGUGUAUAUACUAUAUGUGUACUUUUUAAACUAGGUAUAUGUCCUGACCCUUUUUUAUACAGGUUUGAAUUUGAAAUUACAUUAUAUAUAUACAUAUACUUUAUUGUUCUAAAUAAAGAAUUUUAUGCACUCUCA